Molecule: ribosomal RNA, 498 nt
Filed under: uncultured bacterium
Lineage: Bacteria
Description: partial 16S ribosomal RNA
Rfam family: Bacterial small subunit ribosomal RNA
Source: RNAcentral
AUUGAACGCCGGCGGCAUGCUUUACAUAUGCAAGUCGAACGGUAACAGGCCGCAAGGUGCUGACGAGUGGCGAACGGGUGAGUAAUGCAUCGGAACGUGCCCAGUCGUGGGGGAUAACGCAGCGAAAGCUGUGCUAAUACCGCAUACGAUCUAUGGAUGAAAGCGGGGGACCGUAAGGCCUCGCGCGAUUGGAGCGGCCGAUGUCAGAUUAGCUAGUUGGUGGGGUAAAGGCCCACCAAGGCGACGAUCUGUAGCUGGUCUGAGAGGACGACCAGCCACACUGGGACUGAGACACGGCCCAGACUCCUACGGGAGGCAGCAGUGGGGAAUUUUGGACAAUGGGCGCAAGCCUGAUCCAGCAGUGCCGCGUGCAGGAAGAAGGCCUUCGGGUUGUAAACUGCUUUUGUACGGAACGAAACGGUCUGGGUUAAUACCCUGGGCUAAUGACGGUACCGUAAGAAUAAGCACCGGCUAACUACGUGCCAGCAGCCGCGGUAA